AUGGUGUCCUGGAGCGAUGGGUCCGAUAGCAGCGAGCACACCAUGGAGUACGUCAGCUCAGCUUCCGAUGACGACACCAUUAAGAUCCCUGCUACCACUGAAGACUCUAAUUUCCAGGGACCUGAAACGGAGUUGCAUGUUUUCUGCCAUGAACAUGGGAAGGCCGCAGAAAAGUGUGUUGCUUUCCAAGGAAUCCACACUGGCACGAGGUUUCUUUGUUGUGCUGAGAAGGAAGGUAAAAACUGUGGACUAGUUGAAUGGAUUGAUCCAGCUUGGCCCAACACCCUUGAGAAUGCAUUAUCCGAGUUAUGGUUUAUGUAUGAACAAAGUAAGAGAGACAGGACUGAGGACAAUCUGAUGCAUUCAUUUGCUGUUCCUGACUUGACACAAGAGAAGAAGAAGAUGUAG
This 408-nucleotide ribosomal RNA is filed under the name Triticum aestivum (bread wheat). Its description in RNAcentral is "partial small subunit ribosomal RNA". The record is from RNAcentral. Lineage: Eukaryota; Viridiplantae; Streptophyta; Magnoliopsida; Poales; Poaceae.